CUGAACCAGCACAAGCGGCAGCAUCGGCAAGCUGAACUAUCGCUUUCAUAGGGAUUUAUCUUAUAGAAGGAGAAUUGAAUGUUUCUUCAUGUUCUUUUUGAUGCUCCUUUGAGGAGAAGCCCUGUUUAUUAUUUUCUAUGAAAACCAAGCCACAUGGACUCAGUUAACAAGAUCAACCUUGCUGGGAAAUGAACAAGCGACCAGGACUGCGUGCAAUUCUACUUGGAGAUCUUCAUAACACCUUAAGGGAAAAAUCCUUUUUGAAAGAAAAACAAGUCUGGGUGGUGCUUGAAAAUUCAGAAGGCAGCUAGAAACUCUGCCAAUUACAACUGGUGAUUGCUGAGUUCUGGAGACAGACUGGGCUUCUGCUUUCUUUUGGUGGAGGUGUCUGCUUGCAGAAAAUUUAUGUUCUGGGAUUUACAACUUCAGGGAGACAAAGGAAACUCCAGCUCAUCUCCCACAUCAUUGAUUGAGAGGACCAUUUUCUGACUGUCUGCACACGGAUGGGCAUUUGAAUUAUUUCCAGUUUUUGGCUAUUAUGAAAAAAACUGCUAUGAACAUUCAUACACAAGUGUGUGUGUGGACCCAUGUUUUCACUGAUCAAGGCCUAAAUACCUACGUGGUGCUUCGUGAACCCUGGAUGCUACAGUCUCUGGCCACAGCACUAAAUGUAUGCUGAGAUCUGGCUUCACGGUCG
Molecule: long non-coding RNA, 697 nt
Filed under: Homo sapiens (human)
Lineage: Eukaryota; Metazoa; Chordata; Mammalia; Primates; Hominidae
Description: HSALNT0079580
Source: RNAcentral